RNAcentral lists this signal recognition particle RNA (291 nucleotides) under Phascolarctos cinereus (koala). Its description in RNAcentral is "Metazoan signal recognition particle RNA (ENSPCIG00000010233.2)". It matches the Rfam family "Metazoan signal recognition particle RNA". Rfam says of the family: The signal recognition particle (SRP) is a universally conserved ribonucleoprotein. It is involved in the co-translational targeting of proteins to membranes. The record is from RNAcentral. Lineage: Eukaryota; Metazoa; Chordata; Mammalia; Diprotodontia; Phascolarctidae.
GCCAAGCAUGGUGGCACAUGCUUGUAAGCCUUAUUGCUGGGGAGGCUGAGCCUGGUAGAUUGCUUGGGCUCCAGAGUUCUGAGGCUAAAAGCUGAUGAAUCGUCUGCAUUAAGUCCAGUAUGAGUUCAGAGAGCCCAUGGGAGGGAUGGGAGCACUAGACUGCCUAAGGAGGACUGAACUAGCCCGGCACAGAAACAAAGCAGAUCAAAGCUUCCAUGCAGAUUGGCAGUGGGAUUGGGCUGAGUGGCCACUGCCCUUCCAGCCUGGGCAAGAUAGUGAGGCCUAGUCUCA